This is a long non-coding RNA of Epinephelus moara (kelp grouper), 1047 nucleotides long. RefSeq lists it as uncharacterized. Lineage: Eukaryota; Metazoa; Chordata; Actinopteri; Perciformes; Serranidae. The transcript has 3 exons. The record is from RefSeq and is a predicted model, not a curated record.
AUGAACAAUAGAAAAGCAUCACAUGAAUGCAGCUUGGAGCCAUCAUAAUGGGUUGUCUCGUUGACUGCUGAGAAACUGUCACGCACAAGGAAGUGCCGCAGUAAUACACAUAACUGGGACAAGAAAAGACAGCAGACACUAUUUAUGGCUGCUGCUGAAAACCUUCCCCUGAAGAAGUAUUCCUUUCAAGACACUUCGGAAACCGUGGCGAUGGUGCUAAAAUAAAACCUUGUUCCUCCUGGCUGGCCUAUUUCUAAACAAUGACACAAGGACUCAUACCUUCAGAUGGAUUAAAUGCUGCUCUGUCUCUCUCUUCCUGUCUCCAUAACUCUAUCCCUGAGAGAACGGCAGCGAUGGCAGCCUCGCUCAUUUAGUCUGGAAAACAGGCAGUCUGCUGCUCUUGUAGUUUUUCAUGUUAUGUUUAAAUGACAUUUAAACAGAAUUGUUUUAAAAUAUUAGAGUGCAACAGGAUGCAAACACUAUUCAAAAGUUACAAGAGUUCCUACAGCUUAAGGGUCGGGUCACGGGCCAAGCAGAGCACCCCAGAUGUCCCCCUCCCCAGCAAUGCUUUCCAGCUCCUCCUGGGGGACCCCAAGGUGUUCCCAGGCCAAACAAUUUCCAAAAAGUUCCUUGGAAUUUGGUAGUAAUUAUGGGGAACAUAGAGACAGUGUUGAAUUUGUACACUAGAAAUUAUGUAUUUCAAAUUAAUUUCAGCUUAAACUAGAGAGUCUUUCAGUCGGUGUACAUAUAAUCCAACAUGGAGGAUAGAGUUUCCUAUUAUAAAUUAAUAAUGAAUGGAUAUUUACUUGGGGAUAAAGUAACUCAAAAUAGUACCAAGUUAUACAUAUAUCUUUUACAGGAAAAUUCCUAAGAAAAUAUGGUGCAGUAAAAUAAAGGGUUACUCUCAUUCUAGGCUGUUAUUAUAGUAUAUAUAUUUUAUACAGUACCUUUUUAUGUAUUUCACUCUUGACAGUAUAAACACAGUAUAGCAGGACCUCUGUGUGUGACAUUAGCUACGCCUCCUCUUGUGACUGACUGCUGCAUUGU